Molecule: non-coding RNA, 1929 nt
Organism: Nicotiana tabacum (common tobacco)
Lineage: Eukaryota; Viridiplantae; Streptophyta; Magnoliopsida; Solanales; Solanaceae
Source: RefSeq, a predicted model, not a curated record
UCGCUUGUGAUCACUUCAGAAUUCACAAAUGAAGAUACAAAUUUAUAGCUCAGAUUAAGAUCUGAAGUUUAAUUAUUUCAAAGUGCAACUUUAGAAUCGAAAAUGUGAAUUCUUAUCAGUUCAAAGUGUAACUUUAGAAUCUGAUAUAAAGUUUUAGUUGUUUCAAAGUGCAACUUCAGAACCGGAGAUCUGAAGUUCUUAUCAUUUCAAAGUACAACUUCGGAAUCGGACCUUAUCAUUUCAAAGUGCAACUUCGGAAUCGGACCUGAAGUUUAGCUCUUCUUUCCUCUCAUGUUUUGAACUCUAACUUCUUUCCUCUCAUGUUUUGAACUCUAAAAUCAGCCAUAAAACCUCCACAAACCACCCAAUACAGCCACAACGACAGUAGUUCUCUUAAACCUUCAUUAACGCCGAUAGUCUCCUCCACUAAAAGCUACAUUAAACAGUCAUGAGAGCCACCCAAACAGCCACCAAAGGAACACACUUUUAUCUCCAAAACUAAUUGAAACAACCACCAUAACACUAUCACUAUUUCCGCCAUGUAAAAGCUGCGAUGCAACUGUGCAAAGAAAAAGAAGAAGCAGCAGCAGCGGAUCUGAAUUUUAGAGUUCUUUUAGGAUUGAGUAUCAGUUAAACUUUUUUUCCAAAAAUAAAUACAAAUUAAAUAUGGGCGACUAAAAAGGGUGCCUUGUGAAAUUUUUACAUUAACAGAACAUGCAUAGAAAUUAAAGUAGAAUAGGUAAAGGUAAUGGUUUAUUGAUCUUGUUCCUAUCUCUUCUAAUUAUAUUAUUUUAAAUUUCUGUUGUUUCGCCCGAAAGGGUUGAAAAAAACUAGUAUAUUAGUACAUUGUAUAUGCAAAGAUCUUGAACUCGUUGUAUUUAAUUUGUUUUACGUCAUAUCUUUCUUUGUCUUUUAUUUGUAUUUUUCCUAUUUUGCCUUCAGAAGAAUUAAAAGGGAGAAUGAUUUCAUUGUUUUACUAGGAAAAGCAAUUAUAUAUAAUACAGAUGAUAUACAUUAAGAUUUAAGGGUGCAAAACAAAAAUAACAAACAAGAAUAAUUCAAUGCUUUAACUCCCAAUCUCCGACUGCGGAAGCCAUUUGGACGUACAAUUAAUCCUUACUUUAUCCAAAGUUUUUAUAUUUCUUGUGACAUGCUUUUUCAUAACCUCAUCUCAUUUUCAGUUCUUAAUGCCAAAGAAGAAAAUCGCAUCUCUCUCUCCUUCUUAUCACCUGAAAAAACCCAUGAAAACCAUCAUAAAUUUUCACUGAACCAACCAGCAAAAUUCGUUCUUGGUGAAGCUCGAGUUGCUCCUCUUUUUUGUGGUGAUGAAGUACAGGGCAGGGCAUGUGCUGAUGAAGUACAUGUGAUGCAGUACAAGGCAGGUAUAUAUACUCUUGUAAAAUCUAAGGGGAAAUAUUUGAGGAAGUGGACGGAUUUGGUUUGUCUAUGGCGUAGAUGAUUCGAACGUCCUCAAGUUGUGAUUGAACUAUUUUGUGGUAAAACACCAAGGUAUAUAUACCCUUGUAAAAUCUGAGGGGAAGUAUUUGAGGAUGUGGACGGAUUUGGUUUGUCUAUGGCGUAGACGAUUCGAACGUCCUCAAGUUGUGGUUGAACUGUUUUGUGAUAAAACACCAAGGUAAUGUACGGGAUAAAAUUUGAAGACGGCCGUAUGAAUUAGUCUUUUUGGGAGAACUUAUGGAGAUCGCAUUUGCAUAUGCACUAUGGUUUUGUAUAGUUUUGGGAUUUGUACAUGAUAUAUAUGUCACACUUAUGUAUGUUAUUUGGAGGCUUGUUGGAUUUUAAGACCAAAAUCUUGUAACUUGAAUUUAGUAACUUAUUUUGCUAUUUUAGGAUGUGUUAAUAACUUAAGUCUUGUAAUAUGCUGAAUUUACACUUUGUCUUGUAAAUAUGUACAAAGGAGAAAACUAG